GCGAUAGGCUCUCUUGAGGUCGUCUUCUUUGGCAUUGCGGUCUACCUGAAGGAUUUUAUAGUAGUCCACCCCCAUUUGCCUAAAUAUGAGAGUUUUCUCCUCCUCCUCCUCCUCGUGGAAUUCUGUAAAUGUAGCACCUUCUCUCUACCUCUAGCGCAGGCGCAGUUUCUCUCUUCUUUCACCUCUUCUGAUGUCUGUAAAUUUCUGAGCUUCGGCUUCAUUCAGUUUCCUGGCUGUGCACGGGAAUGGGACAAACUACUCUAUAUUUUAAAUGCAAGGUGUAAUUACAUUUUGCCCCUGAAAGUGGGUUUGACUGAUAUCGACGAGAAUAUACACUUAGGGUUUGAUUGAUAAUUUGGCAAAACCUCACGAGAGGUAAAUAUAUAAUCAAUCCAAAGAAAAGAUGUGUCAAUAAGAAUAUGACAUUUUAUGCCUUUGAAAACUUAUAAUACUAGGUCAAGUUUAAUUUUUUUUUUUCUUUUGGCUGGUUUGACCGGCUAAAUUGGUCAAGAUGAUUCUAAAAGCUUGUUUUAGAGGGUUGAGGUGACUUUUUUCACUCAAAAAAUGGUUCGAUGGCCUACCCUUACCAUUUUAAAUUGUUUAAUGAUCCUUUUGGCCAUUUACUCUUCAUAAUAUAUAAGUAACUUUUUAAAUUAGACUCCUCUUUUGUAUUAGAUUAGAGAGAACUUCUUUCCAUCGCACCUUACUAAAUUAAUUUUCAAAAGUUCUUUUCAAAAAUUAAUAUCAUUUGUAAUAUAUUUCACUGCUUGUAUUAGUUACACAUAAAGUUUCAUACAAAAAUAGACCAAGUUGGUUCUGCUGUCUAAUUAAUCAUUGCAAAAUUUUCACAAUUUUGGCCCAUUUUUCACCGUUCAAAUAUUUCAUGUAAAUUGAAUAUCAAAAUAUUCUAAAAAAAUCAUUUUGUACCAUAUUGAUCUACAGACCAAAGAAAACUAAUGAUACAAUUACAUAAUUUUCUAAUAUUAUAUGGAUUUAGAUAUAAAUAAAUGAAAAGACCAAUAGAGAGAAAUCUCUGUUCAAGUGUGACAAGGAAAACAUCAAGAUCACACAUAUGGUAAUUUUGGAGAGUUAUGAAUAUUUAGUGUUUAAAUGUAAAUCAAUUUCUCAAUAUAAUCAUAAUUUUAUUCCUGAUCUCUCCCGAUUUCUUAAAAUUCCCAAUGUUCACUUUUUUUUUUUUUGAUCUUAGAUCAUAGUGUGCCCGGUGCAUUCACAAUAGAUUAAUGAGACACAACUUUUAUUUACUUGUGUACGAAAAAUUUUAUGACAUUAAUCCUUGCUUAAAGCAUAAUUUAGAGGUUCCAGACCAGCGUACUCGCAACUGCGGACUAUUUCGUUGAGAUAAGAAGAUUUUAGCUAAGGCAUGGCUGCUAACAUGCUCCAAGCAGCAGCAGAGUUGUCCUGAACGACACCCUCUGAAAACAUCUCAAUUGCAGAGGCAUGUCAUCAUUUAUUUCUUCGUAAGAUGUAAUCUGUCAGCAAGGUCAAGUGAUCUUGCCAACAAAAGGAAAAUUUUAGGCGGCUAAAGUUUCACUUCUAACACAUUACACAGCCCACAAAAAAUACACACGCAUAAAAGCAUCAUACGCGUGCCAUAUGCUUAAACCCAGUUUGCCCAAGUGAUUCCCAUUAAACAGGGCCUAUCCAUCAACAAGCCUACAGAAUGCAGCUGGAUUUGUAACAUCACGUGAAGAAAACAAAGCUGCGAGAGAAUUCGCUCUCGAAAUGCAACCCUACACUGCCCCGGCAAAACUGCAAGCAGAAGCUGUAGAACUUUGUCCCAAAUCCGAGAUAACUACUAAUCAUUAUCUGGCAGAAGUUAAUUUCCCAAAUACAUGUGAGCAGCCAUCAAUUUUCAUAAAGAACAGAAAAUGAUGAAAUUCAAGAUGCAGCUCUUUUUUUUUUAAUUUCCUCAAGCACUGGAACAGCAAUCAUAAAACAUUCAGAGCAUCUAGGGGGAACCAUCAAGGUCAGCAGCAUAGAGAUAAUUUCAAGAAACAAGGCUGAUGUGCUGUAAGAUUGACCGCUUGGGCUACAUCCCACAGCAUCUAAAACUCUGGGAAUUCAAGUAGCAGUAGUCCACGUAUCUAGCGACAUUAGAUUUAAGCCAUGCAAGUCAACCAAAAGAAAUUCUACCAACCAUUAUAAAGAUUUGCAUUUCCCUAGCCACAUGUUUCUUCUUCACCCCUAUUAGAGAUGUUCCAGAUAAAAUUCAAGAUCCAAUCAACAGAUUGAGCCAACAGAUAGCUGCAGAUCUUGAGCUUAUCACCAAAUGAAUGCAGACAACUUUUCAGAGCACAAGAAAGCAGAGAUUUGGGAUAACUGGCCUGCCUCACACGAUUCCUGCAUACUGCAAUUAACUGUAAUGCAGGUAGCAGAACAUGCAGCAAUUAGAAAACCAAAAAUAGCAAUAAAGGCUAAUAGAACUUCACCAGUAAAAAGAAUACAAUCUGAGUACCAAAACCAUCACUAGAUUCACCAGAGAACAUUUCAAUAUGCUAGUCUGAUUCAGUAUCAAUAACCCUGGAUUAUGAGCAAAUUGUCUAUAGUACCACCCAAACUAUAGUCCAUGAUCUCCCCUAAAGCUCUCUCGGUGAAACUUUUGAUGCAGCAGUUUCCUUCUUAGUGAUUUCCCUUAACUAGAUAAAAAUCUCUCACCAUAGCUACUUGCUCAUACAUAGCACUAUCUAAGCACAGUCCCAAUACAAACUACUCUUCUCAAGUAACACUUUAAACUGCAAAACAUAUAAGUGAGCACUAACUCGAUCAUCAAUAAAAGUGGACUACUGAAUAACAAAAUACAAAACCGACCACGUGAUUGUUAUCUUCAACACAGAAUUUAUAUCUUUGGUUGGAAAGGAAAAGGACCAGAGUAAAAGUUAUAACCCACUAAGAGUUUGUACCGUCACAGUUGACCUUUCAUGUCAAAAUGGUAAAUUUUUUAAGCUUUACUUUACAUGUUUCUUGACAUUUUUUAUGUGGAAAUCUCAACAUUAUUCAAGUGUCACACUUGCAUUAAGAUUACUUUCCCUCAUUAUUAUUUGAUAUUCUUUUCAUUCAUUUCUUGGCCCCUCGUGGUGGGGGACAGAACAUGAGAAUUGACAGAACUUGAGAAUUAGUUAUCUCCCUAAAUUGUGCUCCUCAGAUCCAUAAUUAAAUUUGUAGCAUAAACAGAUUGUUGGAGAACAAGAAUCACAGGGUUUUGGACUUUGCAGUUAUUUUAGACUUCAUCUCUAAGAGGAUAACAGUAGCUUUUUCAGUAUUUUUAGGAUGACAUAGAUAUUCAGAUUUAUGUUUAUGGAUUACUCCUUAUUAGAUACGUGCACCUUGUACAAAGUCGCUAGGUGGCAUUCAGAAUGAAAAAAUAAAUCAAGGAAGAAACUCUAAUUGCAAAGUAAACUUGUAAACAUCUUUAUCAUAUACACGUUUACAAGCAAACUGUCUGGAUUCGCGGCAAAUGAAAAAUGGUGCAGGGAAGUAGAUGAACCAGUGACCACUGAAAAAUGAAAAAUGGUUUUAAACCUGAAUACACGCACCAUGCAAGAGGCACAUCUUGCCAUCUUCCUCAGAUCAAGUUGCAUCAGAUGAUUCCUUUGACUUGUCAGUCACCACCUCCUUAUCAGACUUGCUAGUCUCUUCACUUUGAGCAUGACUUGAGUGUGUAUGUUCCGACUUGCCCAACUCUCCUGUCUCAGAAUGGGUUGGUUUUGUCAAAUCUGAAUUAUGAAAGUCGGAAGCUAAUCCUAGCACCACUAGUACAGACCUGACAGCAAUUCAAUUCCCUAGUCAGAAUAAGUACAAAUGUAAUUUAUAAGUACGACAGAGGUAACUUGUGUGAACCUUGGGAGUGAUGAUUUAAUAUGUGGUUGGCUAGCAUGUGCAAUCAAGGGAUCCCUUAGAGCUGGCGUUCUAUGUAAUGCAUUUUCCAGGUGUGCUGGUGGAAGCUGAAAAAGCGAAAGCAUCUAACAUCACAUUCAGAGCCCAGAGUAUGACAAGAAUUGAUAAAAUCACUGCAGUCAACUACAAAUAUUGGACCAAACUAAUCAAUAUGGCAAUUCAAGUAUUACUAAAUAACCAUAAAGGUCAGUCUCAGCAUAAUCGUCAAGACUUCAAGAGUCUACAACAUUUUAAAGAUAUGAAGAAAAUACAGAUAAUUGAAGCCAAGGAAGAACCAUAUCUCAGUGGAGAGCUCUAUUACAUAUACUGUCUUCUCAAAAUUUUUUCCUUUUAGCGAAUAUCUGCUUCAAAAGCAGGGGGAGGAAAAAAUCAAGCAUAUGGCAACUCGAAUUUGUAAACAAUCAUUUUUCAGCUGUUGAUAACUAUUCUUCUUCCAAUUUUGUAUUCUACAACAGAUGGCUUGUUAGCAAAAAAAAGUUCAAAUUGAUAGCCUGACAAGCAACCUGCUCAGCUGAAGAAUGCAGAGUCAAAUACAUGAUGUAGCACAAGAUUUAGAACCCACCACGCCCCCCCCCCCCCCCCCAAAAAAAAAAAAAGAAUAAUACAACUGAACAGAAUCAAUUCUGAAUUGGCAAAACUCUUCUUAUUACAGUCACUUCCAGAUCAUUCAUCAUUGAAUGUCAAUGUCAGCCACAUCCAUAUCUUUUAUAUAUCUAGACCAGCUCAGGAAGUUUAUAAGAUAAAGUUUGUGCAAGUAUAUCAGAGGAUGAUGAGGAAUGGCAGACCAUCAGCAGGUAAUUCACAAACAAAAUACCUGUAUCUGCUAAUUAUAAAACACAUAGAUUUAUCAAUUGGUUUAGCACUGCAAGAUCAAAAUAAUUAUCAUAACCCCCAAACACACACUAAUUAGUCACACAGACAAAAAAAAAAAAAGCAAAGUAGAAAUUUACUAGUUGAAAGAAAGUAUAGUUUAGUGAGCUACAUGAAUCAUGAACUUAAUGUUUUGCUACACAUAACAGUACCUGAAGCAAGACACCAAAAGAUUCUGGCUUUGUCAAAAAAGCACACUUAAUGAAUCCGACCCAUAGCUUUGGAUACUUCCAUAUCUGCUAGAAAACAGGAAAAUAAGUUCUCAGAAAGAAUGACAUGCAACAACUCCAUGAUCAAUUUUUUACCUGCUUCUGUACAAGGCGAGAAAGGAUUUCCAUUAUAUAGUCCACCUGAAACACAAUUAGGGUCAGGAAGCCACCAAUGAGAUUAUGAGAUACUUGACGAAAGAUGGAACUUAUCAUACAUUAGCCAUGACUUUGGAUCAUAUCCUAUAAUAGAUUCUAGCUAGAGUCACAAAAUCACAGCAAUAAUCCUUUAGGUAAAAUAUCGUAGUUGGAACCAUAGAAGAUCUCAGUUUUUAGCUAUUAUAGUCGGACACAUAGAAGAUCCCUCGGUAGAACUGGCCAGAACAGCACUGGACAUGAUCUACAUUUACAAAGAUAAUCAGCACAGCGUAUCCACCACUUUUCCCAACAUCAAUCUCAUUGAGUUGUCUGACAAUUACAAACCACUCUUAAAAAUCAAUGCAUGGUUUCCAAAUAAACAUACAAUGCCUCAAGUUCAAAGGAUAUAAACACAAUGUAUUUGCUCAUUCUUGUGGGCAAAAUGCUUAAAACUAUCAUGCUUUUUGAAUAUUUGUGGGCUAUCAAACUUGAAUAUUAAUAAAAACCAAUCUUUGUAAUUGAAUAUAGUGUAAAAGACCCCGCAUGAAAUCAACUCCUAAGCCUUGGCUACUCAAAAGGGACUAUCAUACACAAGUUAAUUCAGCUGCAGAUCAGCAGGCAGAGUAUAUGAUACAGAAAAUACUUUUCUGCAACAGUUUAAUCACUAAAAAACAUCUUACCAGUGAUGGAAAAGCACCAAUUGCCUGCAGCACUGUGCGCAUAAAUAAUAGGGGAAGGGGAGUCUGCUCAACCUGCAGCAGUAUCAAGUGAGGAAUGAAGUCACGUAGUUUGGAGGUUAAGAAAAAAGGAGUGGAGUUAGGAGUUCUGCAUACCAAUUGAUUCAAGACCUUUGCAAGAACUUGCUGAGUGAAGAUCUGUCGCUGCCCAAAACAAGUAUUACAUGCUUCCGUAACCUGUUCUUAGAAAGAUGUUCUUCAGUAAGCAACUUUAUUCGGAUAGGCUAGGGCAGUAUUGGAAAAUGUCCUUUUUUUGAGAUUUGAAGGUAUGAAGAACAGAGGUAAAGCUUGUAAAAUAAUAGACAAAGAUAGGAAUCUCCCUUACAUAGAUAAACAGCAUACCCUGACUAGCAAAAUAAUACAGGAUUGAGGAAGAGGAUAGAAAAAUAGAAUAGUUCUUUUUUUCUUUUUGGUUGGAAGAAAAAUACUGAUAUUUACUGUCAAAGAAAGUGCAAUUUGCAGGUAAGAAGUUUCCACUUUUAAGGCAGUGUUUGUAUUUUGUGGGAAAGGUUACCCUAUAUGGAAUAGCGUAUAUGGUAAUAGUACAACAAAUAACAAAAAGAGCUUAUAUAGGAAUUAAAAGAAAAAGCUACCAUAACUCAGAACAGAAAGGCAUUUUAGGAUUAUUCAACAGAUAAGUGCAACAGUAUAUCAACCGAAUGUGUGCAUUGGAUGUGCAAAAGAUGAAUUUACCACUAAAUACUAUGCUAUAACAUCCAAGAGACACCAUGGAUAUUUGAUGUUACUUUAGGCUUGUUUUAAAUGGUCCAGGGAAUUAGUUGUGUGAUGUUCUUGCAGACUGAAACUCAGCCUAAUAUCAUGUGACUAAUGUGCUGCUAUUUUCAGAUAGGGUGGGUCUCAGAGAUUUUCUAUGAUGCCCUUAACCAGAACAAAAAUGACAAAAAGACCACAACAGCAUGACUAAGCAUCUAAACACAUGGUAGAACAAAAUAUGAUUCACAUAUGGGGUCCUAAAGCCAAGGUGAUGAACUGAUGCUGCCAGGAACUGUAUUGUAAAUCAUGCAAGAAAAGUAUAAGCUUCCACACCUUCUUCAAAGGGAUCCCAUCUCUUUCUGGAUCAAUUCCAUGGAUUGCAAUCAAAGCUUCAGCUGGAGUUAUUGCCGGACAGAAACUAGAAGACCCCUGUUCAAAUUGUUGCUGUCAAAAUCAUUACAUAAUGGUGGCAUAGUAAAAUUAACAGCCAUAUGGAAGAAACAACCAAUUCAAAAAUCACCCAAAAAGGUACUAAGACAAGGGUCAGAUAGUAAAUUCUAGGUUAAAUCCAAGAUACAGCCAAGAGAAAUGAUCCAAAAUGUAACACAUCCAGGGUAUAAAUAUGAAAAAGUCUCCAACAUAUUUAUUAAAGGAAGGUUCACACUUGCACGACCAGAUUCUGAGGAUAAAGAUAAGAAAACUGUAAAUAUCAUGUGUUAAAAAAAGGAGUCUUUCGUACACUAACAACGUACACACUAGCAAACCUGGAUGUAUACACUAUCAGAGUAGGAAAGUAGUUAUCGCAAAAAAAUCCCUAAACUAAUUAGAUUAUCUAGAAAAGGUUCAAUGCAUUUAGAUGAUUACUAAACCAGCUCAUAAUGUUAUGACUUCUUGAAUGAACAAAGACAGAAUAUCUAAGAAAUUAAAACUCAAAAAAAAAAAGUGCCAACCACUACUAAUCAUGAUUGCUAACGGAAAAUUAAGGCUUUGUUUGGAUUGCAUUUUUUUGGAUUUUUUGUAGAAAAAUGACACUAGCAAUUUGAUAUGUGAGGUAAAAAGAUGAUUGGGAAAUAUGUUCACGGAAAACGUGGCAAUUUUUCUUUGGAAAAUUGCUGUCCAAACAAGGCCUAAGUGUCAUGAAAAGCUUCAAUUUAAUAAUUGCUCAAGGGCGAGUUUGACUUGAAGAAACAUUACAUACCUGCGCACAAGCACUUUUUUCUCUCCUUUUCUUUCAGAAAGCUACCCAUUAAAUGGGUGGUUUAGAAUGAACUCAUACCACUUAUCAAAAAGAUAGAGAUGUACAAGAACAACAUAGAACCAAAACAGCGGAAACAUAACAAAAAAAUCACCAAUACCUGAAGCACACAUGCAAGGGCAAGCUGAAACUUCUCCAAUGGGGAAUUCACGAGAUGUGGAAACAUUGCCAAAACCUUCAAAAUAGAAGAUAACCAGUUAUAGGGAAGCACAAAAGGCAAAAUUCAAGUCACUAGGGAGAAAAUAUAUAUGGUAUUAUCACAAUUUCUAUGUCUCUAUCUAUAACAGCUUGAUGGACACUUUGCAUUGCAUAAGCUAGUAGACCAUAAAACAAAGCCUUCCAUGAAAGUCAUACAUGUUCAUACACUACCCUGAUUCUAAUCUUCUCAAUUCCAGUGUAACUAAGUCAAUUGACCAAACCAAAAAAAAAUUGGAGAGACACAGACGCCCACACAGAGAAUGAAUCUGAUUACUACCAAAUUUAGUCGUGACAUUUUUGACAGGUCAAUAUUAAUAAUUUAAAACAUCUUUAAUAAUUUCCCAAGCAUAUCUUAGAAUAUAGUUGUAUAGCUUAUGAGCAAAUCUUGCAACUUAUUAGAUGAUGGUUUCACAUGAAAAUUUAAUUUUCUUGGUUUCAAUGCAUAUCUUACAUAAAUAUCACAUGUAUGAUACACUACAAAUCAUCUGAAUAAUACAUGACUAAGCUCAAAAUAACACAAAGCUAUUAAUCUCAUACAAAAAAGCCAGACCAAAGUUCAAAUUCUAUCACUAGUGGUGACAGAGAUUUGUCCUGGUGAUUAAUAUAUAUGCCAUGUGGUAGUUAGCUGACAUUUAAAGGUAAAGGAUCUCAUUUGGGUACAUAGACCCAGAUAAAAAUAACUGAUCCCGUGCCUAACUGCAAGAUCUGUAAAAAGAAAGCAUGUUAAAAUACUCGAAUUACUUAAAGUUAUUCAAGUAGGCAAUUCCAAAGGGCCAUAAAUAAAAGUAAACUCUGCAUAAAUAUGAAAUGGAAGAAAAAGAAAUCAGAAUGUAAAGAAGAAAAUUAAGACCUCAUCUUUUGGCAAAAAUGGCAGUAUGAGAAUUAGAAUCUCUACAUCCUGUAUAAAGAUAGGAAAAAUCAGCAAAGUGACAGAGUGAAGGCAAAAAUCACUUAUCUAAAAAGGGCAUCUCAACAGAGAAGGAUAAAGCACUAAAUGUACUUAUAAAGUUUAUAGUAUGCAAUCACCAGUGAAUUAACACAUUUAAAAUGUGGGAAAUGCUACCAUGCCAUUAGUGUGCACACGUCCCUCUUUAACAAAGCAGAAUUGCAAAUGUAAAGGACAAGGAUUGAGCUAUUUCUCUGUAUAUACUCAAAGAAUUCCAACUUUUGACCAACCCUAUCACCCAACUCCCCCACCUUAGAAGAAAAAGAAGAAAUAAAUAAAACAGCAACAAGAAGAAUUCAGAUUAGAACUAGGAAAAGAGCUAAAUUCUACACCUUUACUUUAGUAUCAUACAACUUCUUAAUGGUAGAUAACAAUUCCGGGGAAGGCGUUGUCCCAUCUAUCAAUGUGUGUAAAACCUGGAAGAUCAUCAAGACUGAGCCGUACUUUAUAAAAAUUAUUACUCAGUACUCUAUAAUAAAGAAUAUUCACAAAUCUAAAAACCUGCAUCACAAGCUCCAUGCUUCCAGUUGGUAGAUCAGAUAAGAUUUGAAGAAGCUCAGGCGACGGGCCAAUUGCUCGAACAAGCUUUGGGAUGUGGUGUAAUACUGCCUGUAACACACAAUUGGGUCAGAACAUCUAAAUAAAUUUGUUAAAAAGAACACAAAAUGCCUAAUUAUAAUAUAUUAGUUUGAGAUUGUACAAAACCUGCUUUACAGCCUUGGAUGUAUUCUCAUAAAUAACAAAUAUUUGGCGAAAGAGGGAGUGAUUCUGUGCAUCAAAAUUGAAUACGUACAAUGAGUGUAAGAAGAGACGUAUAACAAUCUAUAAUAUACUCACAUAGAGUUCAUUUCUGUGGCGCAAUUUUUGAAACGAAACUAAGUUUACACCUUUGUACAAAUUGCAAAAUACAGAGCCAUGCGUCGCUGCCCCUCAGCUAGUAAGGAGGACGAUAUACUUUCAGAUAUUGACAAUGAAUCGGUGACUGCUGAUAACCCUUUGGAAGAGGUACCAACAACGGGAAGUUCAUUUGAUGGUUUUCCCAUAUCAGAAUCCUGAAUAAAAAUGGUUUCUAUACAUCAUCAAAUUACUGCAACACAAGCAAGCUAUUUAAUCAUUAAUUCAAAAUUUGCAGAAUUAGAUAAUUGUUCAACAAAAAUGCAAUGCAAGUCAAACAAAAUAGCCGCAUUUAAAUCGUGAAAUCACUUUUCCAUUUUCAAAAGCAAGACCUUAAAUUCAGCAUUAGCUCCAUCAGCAUCACAUGACUCCAAUGCAGUAUUGGCAUUUGCAGCUGAUACCAACACCUCCCAGGCAAAAGCUUCUAUUUGCCGUGACAUUGAAGGCAGAGGAUAAAGCUUGUUCACCACCUGUAAACAUAGAAGCAAUAUAAACGAACAUAAUAUGCAACAAAUAUAAAUUCAAUUCAAAGUGACUUGAGCAAAGCAUACCAGACGUAAGGCCUUAUCUCGCACUUCUUCAACCGGAUGAAUUGCACUCUAUCAGAAAUCAAAAUAAAAUCCAAGUCAGAACUGAAGAACUUAAGGAUAGUUAGUCGCCUCCUAAAUAAAAUAACCUGAAUACCGUUUGGGUUUCAUGAGAAGCUCUUCAGCUUGAAAUAAAGGACUAUUUCUAAAGGAUGUGCACAAUAGCUUCAUAAACCCAAUACCCUAAACUCAGCAACUUCACUAUCAAGCAAAUUCAAGUGAAUGAGAAGACAAGCACAAGUAGAACAUACAACUGCCCCCUCAAUCAAUAAAUUUAAAGAGAACUUUUAAAAAGAGUUAUCACUCUCCAAUCCUACACCACAUACACAUAUUUAGUAAGAAAUUUUAACUUCUAAUUAACCAACACCUUCUCUUCUUUAUAACACCACCUCUGCUUUUCAACAAAAGAAAGGGGAGAAAAGGAACAAAAUAAGUACAUAACAAAGCAUGAGAGAGAUAACUGUGUGGUUAGCUUUAUUAAGCCAUGGAUCCUUAGCCAAUAGAUGUCCUCUUAUUAUACUUGAGCACAGCUUUGUCCAAUAUUCUUCUUUGAGAUAAUGAGCUGUUCUAUCAAUUAUACCAUAAUUACAAACAUAUUUCAACAUUUUCCAUUAUAAAAAAGCAAAGAAGGUUAAAAUAUGUCAUUUACAAGCCAAAAGCCCAUGACAAAAGAGCUGCAUAUAUACAAGUCAUAAAUCUUUUCAUAGAACUUUGAACAAGAUAAAUUAGGAAACCAUUGAAGCAUAUAUUAAAGCAAAACUAAUAAUGUUACAAUAGAAGAGAAAAACCUUCAAAGCAAUUGUUAGGCAGGCAUCUCGAAUAGGAGGCCUCAACAAAAUCAGACUCCAUACAAUACUAAGACCUUGCCGAACUCGUUCCAGAUUGUUGUUAUCUUUGUUACUGCCACCAGGGGAACACAUGCCCUCAAGCAAUUUCAAAAUGGAAUCGGGCAGGUAAGGAACUUCAACAAGCAAUCUAUUUAGACAUUUGUCAGGCCAUGGAAAAGAAUCCCUUAAUGUUUCUGCCUGCAUUUUAGAAGAUAAACAAGAUGGUAUAAAUAGCUACCAUUCACUUAGGCCAAAGAGGUAGAAAAGAUCACAUACCACGGUAAGAAGAAACAUCUCAUAUACAGAUUUAGAAGUGGUUGAGGAAACAAAGUCGUGGUCCUCUUCUGCUUCACCAUAUAACCUGUAGAGGACACGCAAAGUCAACUCGUGCCCCUGACAACUUCCACUGGUUAGCCAUGUUACUAGAAACUUUAAUAUUGCAAAUACAAAAGGCAGACACCAAAAGGUAUGGAAAUAAUUUUUACAGCUAAAAUAUCUGGAAAGGAGGAAAUGGAAAAAUUUAUGACUAUUCUAUGCUAGAGAUCACAUGUAAAUAUGCAUAUAAACAUACUAAAAAAUUUUGAUAAGUUUUCAGAAUAUUAGAACAUUCUAAAAGUUGAGAUAAAGUACAAGCCACAAAGCAAAAUUUGAGUAGACAACCAAACAAAGAAGGCUUAUGAAGAUUGACAGAAGUGACAACCAAUAAAUGCACUGAACUGCAUAUACCACCUAUGCUAUACAGCCUUUAACUAAAGUUAAUGACCAAUUACUGAUAUUCCAUAUAAGGCCUUGGUCAAAGUACCUGCUUUCCAAUCAAACAAAGAAAAGGUAAGAGAAAAAGAAAAGUUCUUCAAAGAUCAUUGAAUACAUUCUUUACAACUUCCAAUGUUUGGUGAGAAGUCUCUUAAGAAUAACCUAUAAAAAUUUGCAAUGCAUUUAAAUCAUGUUGCAUCAUUAAUGCCCAUAGAAUAGGAAGUGGAAAGGUGAUUGAUGUAAAGAUUGGAGAAACUUGCAAGCAAGAAUCACUAGUUAUAAAGUGCCAAUGGAAUAACAGCUUAAAAACAAAAAUCAUAUGCUGUAUGGCUUCAAGCCAUCUGCUUUUCGAAGUGAGGACAGCAUAAUGAAAAGAGUGCAACAUUUCAAGAACCAAUCUGUCUCCAGACACAUACAAACCGAAUAUAUCAACAAAAGGUAUGAUUACCUCAUGAUUUACAUAGUCAGACAGUAUAUGUGUUUGUAGUAACUUCCAUGGCUCUAAAUCCAAUGGAAACUGCAUCAAGAAGCACAUGAAACAAUCUUGAGCACCUUUUGUUUUCAAGAACAACAUCUAGCACUUCUUAUUACAACCAUUAUAAGAACAUAUAUCAGACAAAGAAAUCUUAGGCACAGUACCUUAACUCCUAAAUAAGCAAGUACAGAAAGGCAGACUUGAGAACCUCCAGCGGUAGCUAUUUGCUUGUAAGUAUCAGUUAUGCGCAAGAGAAUUGGCUUCUGUAAGUUAUCUAGCUGGUCAUCACUAAGACUUAUAACUGGGGCAGAAAUCUUGGGCAAAAGCAACUGUGUCGAUAACCCAGAAGAAGUUGCACUUAAGGAGUUGACACAGCUUAGGUCUGUGACUGUAGCUCUAGGGCUAAGUUCCUCAGACCUAUCAGUUGACACUGAAGGAAGUAAUUCUAGUGAUGACCUAGCUAGACUACUAACUUGUUCUUGACUUGCAUCCUUCAAUUCAGUUGAACCCAAAGAAGUAAUAACUAAUUCAUCGUUGGGAACAGGUAAAUCUAGACCAGGUAUGUCACUCUCUUCAUUCCCAACAUCAAUAACAUCAGAAGGCGUCCCUGAACCACCAUUCUCUGUGUCACAUGGGACAUGUCCACCUGAAGAAGCUGGAGUAGUUGUAGGCACCGAAGCCUCUUCCAUCACAUAGCUCAUACCAGGGACAUCAGUAUUACCCGAGGUCCCUCUUAGCUGCAGUUAAGGGGAUAUUGAUCUUAAAUAAUGAUGCCCAAUCAGAAUCAACACAAAAAGCAGUUUGUGGAGAAAUUAUAAAGAACUGAUGGUUAAAAAACAGAUUCUAGACAGAGUCAAAUGGCCAUCAUAAGAGAAGUAGGGUUGCAGAUUGAAUGAUACCAAAAAAAGAAAAGAGAAAAACAGGCUGAGGAUUCAGAAGCACCUCAAGCUCAUUUGCUGCAGAAGGUAGAGAAUCCAUCCCACCAUCUUUCUGUGAGACAGCACUAGAUUGUGAAAGAAGGUUGGUGAGAAGCAAUGUUAAAUUAUCAAACUCAGAAUUGCUUCCUGACAUGCCAGGACAAGACCCUCUGCCAAACAACUGCUCAUUAUCUCCUUCAAUUUGAGGGCGAUUUGAAGGAAAAUUUCGCAUGUUAGCAAUUACAACUUCAGCAAGCAAGUCAGCUGAUAUACUAGAGAUGAGAAUCUCUAAUGAUGCAAUAGCUUUUUCUCCUUGAGCAACCAAUGCACCAAACAUACCAACAAGUUGUUGGACAGGGCCACUGUCUUCUUCCAUUUUACAAGCCCCAGAUCCACCAGAAGGAACUCUGCCCUGGUCAGAACUUAAAUCAUUUGUUGAUCCAUCAGAGGUGACAGGCACAGAUUUCAUGCGUUUUACAGACAUUUUAUCCUCAAGUAGAUCAGUACUUUCUUCCAUUCCUGUUCUUUUCCUGCUGGCGUCAUUGCGUAUAUCAUCAAGGGCCUUGCUUGUAGGUUUUCGAUCCUAUAAAAAUUUGAUCCUAGAAAUAAGUGUUGAAAAAAGGAAAGAAAGAAUACAGUCCAUAAAGAUUGAUUUUAAGUCUACUUUUAUGUACUAAUAUACAUAUGCAGAAACAUAAAGAUGUUAUUAACUAUAGUCAAACACGGCUACAGCCAACAAAACACAUACCUGGGUUAUUAAAGAAUCAUUUUUCCUCUCUAAACUUCCACUAUUUUGUGAAGCUAGUUCUAUAGCAGCAUGUUCUGCCACUCCUACAGCUUUUAAUUCUCUCAGAGCAUCAAUUAAGCGAUCACGCCACUGAAAAGCCAAAGAGUCAAUUAAAGUUAGUGAUGCUCAAAAUCAAAGCCACAAGUCUGUAAACAAAUUCACCUGAAAAACUACUUGAGAAGACAUCCUAAUCCAAAUGAACAGGAAGAGAAAAGUCAAGAGAAUUUCAGUCUUGAGCACUGAACCAUUUCAGUAUUGUUGGCUGAGGAGAGAGAAUGAUACAUAUAUAUAUAUAGGGAGAGAGAGUACAUGCAGCAGGUUUCACGCUAUACAUUUCACUGUACUGCCUAUUACCCAAUAUUGUACAGCUAAGUAAUCAGUGAAUCGGUAUGAACAUGAAAUCAGUAAAAUUAACAAAACAGGACAACACUGAGACACAAUAAAAGUAGAAGAAUAAGACUCAUGAAUGUAUUUACAUCUGAAAAAGUCAUAACUAAAAAAAAAUGAUCCCAAUCAAGAGACUCAAGAAUGCUCAUUUCAAAAAUAAAAAUUGAAAUUAAAUACCGGGACAGCACCCGGAUGAGUACAAUUCAAGCAAGAGAGGAAGGCACUCUUCAAAGCAUGAUGCACCCCUUUGCCACUGGAGCUUGAAGGGUCCAAACCAAGUAAAACUGGCAGAAUACGUCCAUAAAAUGCAGGCCUUUUACUUGCAAUUGCAGAGAGACUGUUGGAAAAUGACAAAACGAAACAGCAGUUAAAGAGAAGAAAUGAAAAGUGAGAGACAGCCAGACAAACAAAGAUGCAUGCAUGCACGCACACACAUUGAGAGACGAAUAUGAAGUGAAAGAGGAAAAAAAGUUACAGAAAUUUAAAAUUACAAAACUGAAGCAAAGUAAGAUAUAAGAACUACCUGUUGAUAAGCAUAAUGAUAAUCAAGUUGUUCAGUGACUUUACUGUUGGAAAUCUCAACUGAUCGAGCAGCAGACCCAAACUCUGACUUGCUUCAAUUGACAAAUCUCCAAUAUUUAGUAUAGGAUGACCCCCUCGAAGCCAUGAUAUGUUAAAUUCUUUAACACUGGCUGCAGAAGGUGAGAAGGUUUCAGAAGAAAUACAUAUUUAGUAACUUAAGAAAUGCCUUCAGGGAUAGGCUAAGGAGCAAAUGCAUACCGAAAAGAUGCAUAUCUAAAGUACCUUCUGAAUCUAGAUCAGCAGGUGGAUCUGAGGAGCCAUUAGGAUCAGGUGUAUAGAGUAGAACAACUGUUUCCAUAAACUUCAGUGCAAGCAACCUUCUCCCAUCACUUCCUGGCUAAAGAUUUUAUAGGAACAAGUUAAACAGUGCACAGAGGCUAGAUAGGUGCAUCCCAUGUUUCUAGAGUCUCAUUUACCUUAAAUGCCAACGAGCAUAUCUCAUCGCGAAACUUUAGCAUCCAUGACCAAGAUGAUUCCAGAGAAGUAUCCAACUCGUUUGAAUACAUUCCCUGCAAAGUACACAAAAGAAUAUGCAAUACGUACAAUUUUACUCAAGAACAGAAGAUUCAGCAAGAGGAAGACUUCUUUCAGCAAAUAAGUGAUUAAAACGAGCUCAGCAGACAAAAAAUUACGGGUACGACAAAAUAAAAUAUAGAGAAUAAUAAAAUCAAUGACAAUGCUUACACAAACUUACCUUCUUUUCUUUUUUUUUUGUUUCAUUUUAAUAUCUUCUUAUAUGCAUGCCUAUAUCCUGAGGAAACAAAAUUAAGAUCUGCAAAAUAUAGGCAAUAAACUUAUCCCAUCCAAGCAGUAGACUAUUGGUUUCAAAAGCGGAAGUAUAAAACAUCAAAGCCAUGCAUCAUAGUGUUUGGAGUCUAUCACUGAACCGAACAGCACAUACAAAAUGGUAAUGAACAACAAGUCAUAUGAAAUAAAAGCCAGAGGACAUGGGAGGACAGGAAAAUCUCCACAAGGUAGAAGAUAGACAAUGCGAGCAACUGUAGGACCAACUAUCAUAGCACUGCGAAAAAAUUAACUAAAUCAAGGUCUUCCACAAGCAAGGGACAAAUAUCUAAACUCAAUGGUGUGCCCAUACAAUUCCAAUUUACCUGGAGCGCAACUUUGAAUAGAACAUAGCGAAAAAUCUCCAUACCACACCUAAUAGCCUGUCGAGCAACCGCUGGGGUAUCAUCCUUCAACACAGGUAUUAAUACAGGUACCAUUUCAGGUAUGGAUUCUGCAAACUUCAAUCCAAUGUCGCCAAUCAUCCUACAGCGGAAAGAAUCCAACACAAACACAUUACUCGUCUAGUACUUUAACCUCCUUUGACAGGAAACCUUUUACAGGCCAAUCAAGUCUCCAGCACUGGCUCAAGAUAUGAAUCCAGCUUAUCACAUCAUGCGAGUCCUAACCUACCAAUAUCACCCCUAAUUCGUCUAUGUCAAUGUCAUCAUAAUUCUGCCAAUGAACCACGCAUGCAAAAUCCUAUAGAGGACCAACUCGUAACAAAAAAUGAAUGAAAACUGGUAGCAGAUGCUAAAGUGGCAGCAUGGACUGAGUAAAGGAAAAGAAUUACAUUCUAAGGUCAAUUUGUCUUAGUCUAAGACCUUCACUUGAAAAAAAAAAAAAAAAAGUUGAGCAACAUUUCAGUUAUAAAUAACUUCCAGAUGUUUCUUUAGACAAAUGUCCUGCAUUUCCUCCAAUUUCAUUAAAUCGAACACGAGCAUAACACCUUUCAAGCAUCCGCACAUACAAAGAUUUCUUACUCAGCAGUGAAUUUACGAACGGGACUGAAGCGGUCCGAGAGGAGGUCCAGAAGAGGGGAGAGAAACUUGGAGAGCAAGACAGAAUCGGCAUUCGAGAGUUCGUCGCUCAGCGAGCGUAAGUGUUCCAGCUUCGAAGGAAUAUCAGCGUCAAACUUCACCGAGUUUAUGAGACUCGAGAUUUUGUCUCUGGAAACUGUCGCCAUUAUUCCUACCAUUGCUUACGAAGAAAAAAACCCUAAUCCAUAGAACGUCAUCUACAACGAUGGUCUCACUGAUUCUGCCCCGAGAAACGUGAAUUAGAAGACGCCUAGAAUCACGGGAGAACGGAGGGAGAUUAGUGGACCAAGGUCCUCACUUCUCACUUGUCUGAAACGAAACUCUACUCUUGGUCGUCUUAACAAACCUUGCCUGGGGGUAUUCCGUAGGAUUUGGUUGAUUCGUUUGCGCCCUCAAAUCAAUGGCUACUCGAGAGCCGAGACUAGCAGUAUGCCUACCAAACUGGCUUUGAAACGCCUGCCCCGUCGCGUCACUAGCGUAUGAUGUUUUUCCCAUCCAAGCCCUAGUUAGUCAAUAUUUAUUCGUAUAAUACAUGUUUGUAUCUAUUAUUCACAAAAAUAUUUUCAUAUUUUGUACACCGUAAAAAUGCUCCGAAAAAUAUUCGCAUAUACCACGAAUUAUUUAAAACACAUAUAGUAAACUUUUAAGUUUGAGCGCAUUAAUUUAUACACCAGGAAUGAUACUUCAAUUUUUUUAAAAUAUUUUAAAAUUUUAGUAAGGAUAAUGGCAUGCCUUUUAAGUUUUAUAUAUAUAAAAAAAAAAGAGCUACGUAUAUCAUAAUUCUUGUAGAUAUUAUUACACUCCUACGUAUAAUUUCAUGAGAAGUACGCAUGAAUGGCCCCUUAAAGAAAAGGCCUUUUUAUUUUGAUCUUUCUUGCGUACCAAAUGAGAGGUAAGAGUAAUAAAAUGAUCUUAUUUUAAUAAACUUAACAACUCAUACAAUAAUAAAAAGGUUUAAAAUUAGUAUAAAUAUAGUAUAAUCUUUGGAAAAUCAUUGCAAAAUUUAUCGCUGCUUUAGUUCCGUAAUUUUCAAAUAUAUUCGUAUUAUUCACUUAAGAAUUUUUGUAUAUACAAUUUUGUUGAAGAUGUAUUUUUACCCCGAAUUUUUAAUCAUACUUCUAAAAAGUAUUUUGCAUAUGCAUAACACUCGUUUUUUACCAUUUUUGUAUUUUACUGACUAUAAUCCAAACUAAUAAAAAAGAUAAAUGCUCGAGUUAGUUUUUAUUUAUAAAUGUUUAUAUCAUCAUCAAUUUUGUUAUGAUCCACUCUUUACCCCACCCUAAAUUUCCAAAGGAAUUUUGUAAAUGCCUUCUAGCUAGUGAACUUUUAAUUUAAUACGCAAAGAUAAUAUUUUAAAUAUACACACUGACAUUUACUAUCUCCUAUAUUUUCAUAAACCUUUUGGCUUUAAUCAUAUACUUACCAAAAAUAAAUAAAGAAAUAACAACUAAAACCUCGUGCUAGGCACUUAUUAGAAUAAUCAGUUAUCGCCAACCUCAAAUCAUAACCAUUUAAAUGACAAAAGAAGGUAAGCUUUUAUUGUCGUUUGUAAAUUGUUUUAAUUCCUGCUUAUUUGUUGUUAACACAACCACAUUAUUUCCCCUAACAACACGUAUUUUAAUAAGAACAAGCAAAACAUCACAAUUUUUCAAUUUUUAAUCCGCAACUUUUUGAAAUUCUUAGACAUUUAAACUCUCAUUUUACAAUAUUUUGUUAGUGAGUGCCCAGUCGACCUGUUAAUUAGGGUCCAAAUACAAAUUUAAUACAAAAAUCAAAAUUAAAUUCCAGAAAGUGACCAAAUCGAAUACAAAAAGUGGGAAUGAUUGUGAAAGUUUGCGUUUAAAUGACUGGCUUUGUAUCUUAAUUAAGUCCUCUAGAGCUCAAGUUUAAAUUAGAAAUCUAUGACUUUUGACGGUAAAUGUUCAUAAAUCCAAAACGAAGCAGUUGAAAAACAUAUGCUUUACAUAUAGACUUUGAAGAGGUAAAUUCUGACUGGAUGAGGUAGAAUUUCCCGGAAGCGUGAAUACCUCCUCCUUGAGUCUGGUCACUAUGACGAGGUCACCUGCUCAGGUUAUAGGGGGGGACUGAAUCCCCCGAUAUAACUCCGAAUCUUAAGUCAGUUCGGAAGUAAAGAUAGUUGGAUAGUGAAUGAGGAGAGUAUUGUUUUACCCGAAAUUGGUCAUCCCCCUUUUUAGUAGAAGGGUUGAGUAUUUAUAGGGGAAGGUUGCGUGGGAAGAACAUCCAUCACAGGUCCCUAGAGAUCUGAUUCGGUCAGUGCAUCCGGUGGAUUAGACCGGUCCCUAUGAAAAGACAUGAUGGGACGUUGGUAAGGUUCAGGCGGCGUGUCAGGACAGCCUUCUGUCAGGUGUCAGAGGCUCCAAGAGUCACAUCCAACCUUUGUGCUGGAGUCGGGUGUCCAUAGAUCACCUCGGCUAUGAGAUUGACCGAGGUGACCAAGGGGCGGGGAGUGACUCGAUGGGCGGUGUUCGGAGCGGGAGACCCGGGGUGAGCCAUCGGAUUACCCGGGCCGAAAUCACCUUCCUCACUAAGCCCCCCAAGCUUCGAGAAGGGCGAAGUCGUUGUUAUCUGAAGUCGUACCUCCUCGAGGCUGAUGAGCGUGUAAAACACGGACCUGGGAAAGGAGCGAGGAAUGAAUCAAUCGUCAGGUGAACAGGAUUUGCAUUAAUGAGGAGAGAGAACGGGUGCUGUAGGAAGUUCGAGGGGUGCCGACUCUUUGGUUUCCCUCUGCUGCCUAUAAAUAGGGGUUCUUUUUCACCGUUUUAUUCUCUACUAAAAAUCGAAAAUCACUUCAGAGCUCUGUCUCCUCGUCGUUUCACUUCGGCAAUCUUCUACAAAUUAUCCUCCACCACUUCUUCACUUCGCAUUCCCUAGUAAGUACACUUCUUUUUUCUGCCCUUAUGGCUAGAGUCGCUCAUACCCACAAAGAAACAGUGAGACCCAACUUCACCGAGGCAGAGAGGCCUGACCCUUCCGAGGAAGGACAUACAGUUGGCACAGGGGACGGAGGUGAGGAGGUGUCUCACCGAGCUGAAACUUUGGAGGAACAGGCCGACGAGAUCGAGGUUGAUCCCGAGGUCCUGUAUAACGACGACCUCGGGAAUGAGGUUCCUAAAGAUGAAGGCGUGCAGGAGCCUUCCACUCCUCCUAAUGUAGCAACGAUGAACUAUGGUCACAUGCCAGCCUUCCGCAGUGCCAUGUCGGAAGCUUCUGUGGCCGGGGUGAUACGUAAAUACCCCUGGAGAAGGGACUACAGCAUAUACGUACCUCAGCCGGACCAAUCUGCCGCCCUGCCACCUAAAGGGAGGGUGGCAGUAUACAUGGAUCAGCUGGAGGCCGGGCUCAGAAUGCCCACCACAAGGUUUCUCCGGGAUUGCCUGAGGUACUGGGGGGUGAGGAUCACUCAACUCACCCCGAACACGAUCCGGGUCCUAGUCGGCUUCCAAUUGCUCUGCCGACAUCAGAAGAUCGAACCCACCGUCAACCUCUUCCGUCGUUGCUAUUCACUUAAGAAUAGCGGGAGUGAGAAGGGCUGGUUUUACUUCGGGAAUAAGGUCCCGAAGUUGGUGUAUGAUGCGCCGAGCUCAAUAAAGGAGUGGAAAAGGAACUUCAUGUUCGUCCCGGCUGAGGACUUUCCUGGAGGAUUCUGGUGGAGGCCUCCCACUUCGGUCAAAGAGACUUCCCCGGGGAAACUGGAAGAACGCAACUUCCAGAAACUGACGGGGUCAGGCCUCAAAAUCAACUGCUGGGACUUCCCUGAGAACGUGCUUGUGGAAGGAGGGCUCAGUCGAGCCCUAAUCAGCCCGGAUCACCCCGUCCUGAUCUCCACUAGGCUUCAUAUACCCCGUACUUUUCCAUUUUUCUUUUCUUGUUCCCUCUUCUUGAAUUCUAACUGACUCUGCUUCACUCUUUGCAGUGACAAGACUUUCCGAUCUCAUUACUUCGGGAGAAGUCGAGGUGGCGAAGAGGCCAUCAAAGAAGCGCAAGGACGCUGCCGAGACCUCUUCCAGGGCGGCCAAAAAGACCACGGCAACAGCGGGCACCCGUGAGCCCGCCGUGGUGAUAAUAGGCGAGGGUUCGCACACCUCGGGCACGGCUGGGAGGUCCAAGUCAUCCAUUCCAACAGGGAUUCCUUCCCGUGGAGUGACCUUGGUUUCUCCACCUCGGGGAAGAGGCCGGGGUGCUACCAUGGUUCAGGAUCACCCCAUUACGGGGAACUCAUUGUUCAACCUCCAUCAUGUACCCUCUCUCACAGCAGGGGAAGACAAAAGGCACUCCGGGGCACAAUUUUGUCCGGAGUGGGAGAUUAAUAUGAAUGACCGCUGCAAGAAUUCCCAGGUCGCGCACGAGCUCCUGGUGAAUUCAGUCUUGCCGCGGGACAAUACUUACACCAGGAAGCUCGAUCCAGCCGAGCUGAUGCAAGGAACAGCGGCCUCCUGGGCUGCCACUACGGCGUUCGUCGCCGAAAUGUACCAACGCUUCGGGGACUUCAUCAGCACCUACGAGUCACCCUCCGAGCUUCAGAAGAAAAUUGCCGACCUGGAGGAGAAGUUGAAGGCCACCGAGCAGGAACGGGAUAAAGCCGAGGCAGCAAGGGAGAAUGCCGUGGUCGAGAACAACUCCCUGCUCACCGCGCUUGACGAGGAGAGGCAAAGAAGGGUUCAACAAGAGCAGUCAAGUCUGGAGGCCAUAAACGCAGCCGGGGUCUCCGCCGUAGAGGCGUUCCGCAGGACCGAGUCCUUCGUUCGUGACCUCGGCGAGCUCUCAAGGCCGAGCUUCAUGCUGGGUUACACGUCGGCCAUCACCGAGGCGACACCCUUCCUCUCCUCUGAGCAGCUAGAGUCCUUUCAGAGCACCUCACACUACAACGAGGAUGCCAAGGAGCUAUGCGACCGCAUAGCAGAGGGCAUUCAGGCUGGGAAGGACCUGGCCGAGGUCCGUGCCGAAUUCAACAAAUGGCUCCUAGAAUCUGAACUAGAUGGGGAUAGUGUCGAAGGGAGUCAAACCAGUAAAGAGGCUGAAGGAGGUCAGGCCGGCGAAGGGGCUAAGGCCCAGCCAGACGCCGAAGUGGGGGGUGAAAUUGUAGGCCAGAGUGCUUAGGAGCGCCCAUUUUUGUAAUAGGUGGACUAAUAGGUGUACCGAGGUCAUGGAUGACCUCGCUUUGUCAAUUUCUUGUGCUCUGGAGCCGAGGUCACAUAUAACUUCGGCUUAUUGUUCUUUCACUUCAAUGCAAUUGGCUUUUCUCACAUGUUUUUGCUAAUUGAGUUUGGUUUUCUCUUGUUUUUCUUCUUUUGGCUACUGUUUUGUCCCCUUAUUUUUUACUUAAGAUAAAGGAGAAUAAGUGAUAAAUAACAACGGAAUGAGAUUCGACAAUACGUACCCCUUCAAGGGAAAUACAUCUUAAGAUUCUCAGCGUGCCAAGUCCGGGGCACUCGCGAACCAUCUCGGUAAGCUAACUUACAAUAUCCAUUUUGGCUGGACUCAACAACGCGGUAGGGUCCCUCCCAUUUGGGGUUAAGUUUUUCCUGGGGUUCAGUUCGGCUAACUGAAUUCUUCCGGAGUACGAGAUCCCCCGGACU
RNAcentral lists this long non-coding RNA (22608 nucleotides) under Coffea arabica (coffee). RNAcentral's name for it is "long non-coding RNA (CARA_LNC003935)". Lineage: Eukaryota; Viridiplantae; Streptophyta; Magnoliopsida; Gentianales; Rubiaceae. The record is from RNAcentral.